This 632-nucleotide ribosomal RNA is filed under the name Pseudomonas oryzihabitans. Its description in RNAcentral is "bacterial SSU rRNA". It matches the Rfam family "Bacterial small subunit ribosomal RNA", at positions 65 to 692 of the family's 1533-position model. The record is from RNAcentral. Lineage: Bacteria; Pseudomonadati; Pseudomonadota; Gammaproteobacteria; Pseudomonadales; Pseudomonadaceae.
AGCGGAUGAGAGGAGCUUGCUCCUCGAUUUAGCGGCGGACGGGUGAGUAAUGCCUAGGAAUCUGCCCAGUAGUGGGGGACAACGUUUCGAAAGGAACGCUAAUACCGCAUACGUCCUACGGGAGAAAGUGGGGGAUCUUCGGACCUCACGCUAUUGGAUGAGCCUAGGUCGGAUUAGCUAGUUGGUGGGGUAACGGCCUACCAAGGCGACGAUCCGUAACUGGUCUGAGAGGAUGAUCAGUCACACUGGAACUGAGACACGGUCCAGACUCCUACGGGAGGCAGCAGUGGGGAAUAUUGGACAAUGGGCGAAAGCCUGAUCCAGCCAUGCCGCGUGUGUGAAGAAGGCCCUCGGGUCGUAAAGCACUUUAAGUUGGGAGGAAGGGCUUACAGCGAAUACCUGUGAGUUUUGACGUUACCAACAGAAUAAGCACCGGCUAACUUCGUGCCAGCAGCCGCGGUAAUACGAAGGGUGCAAGCGUUAAUCGGAAUUACUGGGCGUAAAGCGCGCGUAGGUGGCUUGAUAAGUUGGAUGUGAAAUCCCCGGGCUCAACCUGGGAACUGCAUCCAAAACUGUCUGGCUAGAGUGCGGUAGAGGGUAGUGGAAUUUCCAGUGUAGCGGUGAAAUGCGUA